GAUGAAGAACGUAGCGAAAUGCGAUAAGUAAUGUGAAUUGCAGAAUUCAGUGAAUCAUCGAAUCUUUGAACGCACAUUGCGCCCCCUGGUAUUCCGGGGGGCAUGCCUGUCCGAGCGUCAUUACAACCCUCAAGCUCAGCUUGGUAUUGGGCCCCGCCGACCCGGCGGGCCCUAAAGUCAGUGGCGGUGCCGUCCGGCUCCGAGCGUAGUAAUUCUUCUCGCUCUGGAGGUCCGGUCGUGUGCUCGCCAGCAACCCCCAAUUUUUUUCAGGUUGACCUCGGAUCAGGUAGGGAUACCCGCUGAACUUAAGCAUAUAAUAAGCGGAGGA
This 328-nucleotide unclassified non-coding RNA is filed under the name soil metagenome. Its description in RNAcentral is "partial contains 5.8S ribosomal RNA, internal transcribed spacer 2, and large subunit ribosomal RNA". The stretch from base 1 to 120 matches the Rfam family "5.8S ribosomal RNA", at positions 35 to 154 of the family's 154-position model. The record is from RNAcentral.